Molecule: non-coding RNA, 1987 nt
Organism: Aethalodelphis obliquidens (Pacific white-sided dolphin)
Lineage: Eukaryota; Metazoa; Chordata; Mammalia; Artiodactyla; Delphinidae
Source: the annotation of a RefSeq genome assembly
GCACCAACCAAGGCCAAGGAGACCAGAGGCCACCCCCCACCCCCGGGGCAUCCUAGUUAGAUGAUGCCACUUCGACCCUGACACCGCCAUGGGCUGCGGGCUGUUCUGCUGUGUGGUCCUCUGUCUUGUGGGAGCAGCAGCCUCCGCGGACACGGAAAUAACUCAGAUACCAAAAUACCUAAUCAUGGAAACUAGAAAUAAGAAAUCUUUGAGAUGUGAACAACGUCUGGGUCACAAUGCUAUGUACUGGUAUAAACAGAGAGCUCAGAAGCCGCCGGAGCUCAUGUUCGUCUACAACUACAAGGAACUUGCUGGCAAUGAGACUGUUCCAAGUCGCUUCUGGCCUGAAUGCCCAGACAGCUCCCGCAUCAACCUGCACGUGGACACCCUGAAACUGGAAGACUCCGCCCUGUAUCUCUGCGCCAGCAGCAAAGACACAGCCCUGCAGAGCCAACUCCUUCCUGUGCACAAACCUCCAGGGGCCAGCCAGGAAGCUAGGGGGCCAGCCAAGGCACCGUUUGCCACUUCCCAUUAGACCCUAGACAGAAAUCCCAGACCACAAUACUGCCCGCAGGUUCAUGGGGCAUGGCAGGGCUCAGAUCCCCACAGACGCCAGCAGUCUGUGCCGGGCUCGUCCUGACCAAGAUUGUGCCUCUGGGUGAAUAGAGGACAGACGUUCAAGUUUAAGUUGUCCCAAGGAUUUUCCAAUUGGCUGGCGCCCCUGGGAAGUCUUUCAUGAGACACUUGACCUUCUGGCCGCAGCAGUACUACUAAUCCUCCUUCUAAAAGGUGUCUUUCUCUGACUUCCCCUUCCAUCCAAGUUAGACCCUGGAUCUCAGCCCAGAUCCCAGCUCCAACUAUGCUCAGACCUUUUUCAAAGCACCUCAUUCCCUCACCAGGGUCUCCAGCUGUUCCUGCCCCUGAGGACCACGGAUCCCCCAUCCCGCUGGGAUUCCUAUUCUCUGGUUCACUCCGCCGGCUGCGCGUUCAGGGGCUCAGCCGCUCGCUGGCUUCUCUUCCACUCCAGCCUUAACGCUUUCAGGCUUGCUUCUUUUUCCUUCUGUCUUUGUAACCCUAGCUCUUCAGGCCUUCGCCUCCUGUAUGAUCAGCCAUAGAGUCCGACGGGCUUGGAUUGUUGCUUCCAGCAGGCAGUGAGGAGUGAUGGGCUCCUGACAUUUCAGAGCAGGACUUUGUACCCAGGGCUGAACCCUGUAUCUUCCGGCUCUGCUCCUUGUAAUGGCUCUCUGGGCUGCACAACCCAGCAGCCAAGGGCUGACAAAGCCCUGCGUCCUGGAGGGUCAGCUGUCUGCAUGUGCACCAAGGCUCCCUCCUCUCUCCUGCAGAGGAUGCUCCAGGGACAGGGAGACCCCCCACAGAGCCUCAAACCAUAAUACCCAAGUCGACCCCUGUGGCGACUCUCUAUUCUGCGUCUUUAGAGUGGGGGUUUUUUUCACCCGAGUGUGACUCUGCCCUGUCAACUGGUUAAGAGAUAAACACACCCCCAUCUACUAUUUCAAUGCUUUAUUUGUCGUGAAAUAAACAAACCUGCUGUAAAGUGGAUGCUUUGGUUUAAGGUUUCAUAGGGAUCCUCUAAACGGAUGCCUGCACGCCAGGACUCACACCCUACACGGGCCCAGAGGAUAGGAAGGACGCCGCCCUGUGAGGAAGUGCGUUGCUGGGAACUCGGCAGGGAUCCAGGCCAACAAGAAGGUCACCACAGAGGACACACUGGGCAAGAGCAAACGCCCACAGAACUUCCCGUGCCCGCAACUGGCGUGAACUGCUCACUCUGGGCAUGAUGGGCGAAGAUAGGACUGACUUCUCAGAGGCUAAGACCUGAGGGUUCCUGAACAACUGGCUGGAGGAAUGAUGCAGAGAAUACUUCACAAGGGAGAUACUGGAUGUCCCAUUAAUAAGGCAGGUGGACCUCAAGUAUUCAGUUAGAGAAAUAAAUCGGUACUGUUGUGCUAGUGAAUUAAGUAUUUUA